This 397-nucleotide ribosomal RNA is filed under the name uncultured bacterium. RNAcentral's name for it is "partial 16S ribosomal RNA". It matches the Rfam family "Bacterial small subunit ribosomal RNA", at positions 523 to 918 of the family's 1533-position model. The record is from RNAcentral.
AUACGUAGGUGACAAGCGUUAUCCGGAUUUACUGGGUGUAAAGGGCGUGUAGGCGGUUUAGCAAGUCAGAAGUGAAAUUCCCGGGCUUAACUUGGGCGCUGCUUCUGAAACUGCUUUACUUGAGUGCUGGAGAGGAUAGUGGAAUUCCUAGAUUCGCGGUAAACUUCGCAGAUAUUAGGAGGAACACCGGUGGCGAAGGCGGCUAUCUGGACAGUAACUGACGCUGAGGCGCGAAAGCACGGGGAGCAAACAGGAUUAGAUACCCUGGUAGUCCGUGCCGUAAACGAUGAAUACUAGGUGUAGGGGGUAUCGACUCCCUCUGUGCCGCAGUUAACACAUUAAGUAUUCCACCUGGGGAGUACGGCCGCAAGGUUGAAACUCAAAGGAAUUGACGGGG